CCUACGGGUGGCAGCAGUGGGGAAUAUUGGACAAUGGGGGGAACCCUGAUCCAGCCAUGCCGCGUGUGUGAAGAAGGCCCUCGGGUUGUAAAGCACUUUCAGUGAGGAAGAACGCCUGGUGGUUAAUACCCAUCAGGAAAGACAUCACUCACAGAAGAAGCACCGGCUAACUCCGUGCCAGCAGCCGCGGUAAUACGGAGGGUGCGAGCGUUAAUCGGAAUUACUGGGCGUAAAGCGCGCGUAGGUGGCUUGAUAAGCCGGUUGUGAAAGCCCCGGGCUCAACCUGGGAACGGCAUCCGGAACUGUCAAGCUAGAGUGCAGGAGAGGAAGGUAGAAUUCCCGGUGUAGCGGUGAAAUGCGUAGAGAUCGGGAGGAAUACCAGUGGCGAAGGCGGCCUUCUGGACUAACACUGACACUGAGGUGCGAAAGCGUGGGUAGCAAACAGGAUUAGAUACCCCUGUAGUC
Molecule: ribosomal RNA, 465 nt
Filed under: Vreelandella stevensii
Lineage: Bacteria; Pseudomonadati; Pseudomonadota; Gammaproteobacteria; Oceanospirillales; Halomonadaceae
Description: partial 16S ribosomal RNA
Rfam family: Bacterial small subunit ribosomal RNA
Source: RNAcentral